AGCGAACGCUGGCGGCAUGCCUAACACAUGCAAGUCGAACGAGAUCUUCGGGUCUAGUGGCGCACGGGUGCGUAACGCGUGGGAAUCUGCCCUUUGGUUCGGAAUAACAGUUGGAAACGACUGCUAAUACCGGAUGAUGACGAAAGUCCAAAGAUUUAUCGCCAGAGGAUGAGCCCGCGUAGGAUUAGCUAGUUGGUGUGGUAAAGGCGCACCAAGGCGACGAUCCUUAGCUGGUCUGAGAGGAUGAUCAGCCACACUGGGACUGAGACACGGCCAAGAGUCCUACGGGAGGCAGCAGUGGGGAAUAUUGGACAAUGGGCGAAAGCCUUAUCCAGCAAUGCCGCGUGAGUGAUGAAGGCCUUAGGGUUGUAAAGCUCUUUUACCCGGGAUGAUAAUGACAGUACCGGGAGAAUAAGCUCCGGCUAACUCCGUGCUAGCAGCCGCCGUAA
RNAcentral lists this ribosomal RNA (449 nucleotides) under uncultured bacterium. RNAcentral describes it as "partial 16S ribosomal RNA". It matches the Rfam family "Bacterial small subunit ribosomal RNA", at positions 29 to 523 of the family's 1533-position model. The record is from RNAcentral.